UCUGACAUUUCACCUUUACAGCAAACCAGUAAUUUUCUACUUAAUUAGAUGGAUAUAAAUAUUUAUCUUCUUUUAAAAUAUUAUUUAUUUAAUGUAUAUGAGCACACUGUAGCUGUCUUCAGACACACUAGAAGAGAGCACCAGAUCCCAUUACAGAUGGUUGUGAGCCACCAUGUGGUGCUGGAAAUUGAACUCAGGACUUCUGGAAGAGCAGUCAGUGCACUGAGCCAUAUUUCCAGCCCAUAUAGCUUAGUGAAGUGAAAACAGAAGGAAAUCCUCCACAUGUCCUCACCUCAGCUAUCUGAUUCUAUCCAGCACCCCGAAGCCUUUCUCCUAACCGGACUAGCUCUCGUCAGGAGGCAGCUUACUAAUACAGUUUGUCCCAGGGGACAUCUACCUGCAUUCCCCUUUCUAAGAAACUUACCACAGAACUUUUGCCAAUUUUCCACCUGAGAGAAAUUUUAUUAUGUAAAAUUUUCCCUUUUAUGAUGCUUAAGCGUAUGUUUUAGUGCCUACUGCAUCAACCACCUGAAGCCCCAAUGGUAACAUCCCUGCAUCCUUCACCCGACUUUCUCGACUCUCCCAUAUUCUGAAGACACCUUCUUUGCUAGUCCAAUUUCUAAUGCUCCCCAGUUACCUACUCUUUUCUAAAAUGAAAGUCAACAUUUCCACUGAGAAAAAAAAACAAAACAAAGCAAAACACACCCACUGCAGCCCGACUUGUUUUCAGGGCUGAAAGAAAAGGUAUGGAUUUCGAGGAAGUUCCAUUAACCUGUGCUUACCUCGGGUGUGUCCAUUGGAAGUCCUCCAAGAAGGAGACAUCAACUGUAAUAUGUUAGGCAAUGAGUCUCCAAACUGAUCUUUCCUAGCCCCUCUCCUUUCACGGCUUUUGGGUUUGGGCAAGUCUCCUACACUUUUUAAUGAAUAUGUAUUGAUAUUUAUGCUCCCCAACUAUCUGAUACAACCUUUUACUGCCUUUUAUGUCUACUUUCCGUCUUAAGAAACGCAGUCAAAACUGAAACGAUGGCUGGGCUUUAGAUGUCCUUUCUGCUGGUUCUCCAUCCUUGUUCCUCCCCCUGAAGCUUCAUUAUUUUACUGCCCUAGAACCUUAGCGUUGGACCGUUCUUCACUCACUCCCAAAAGAAACUUGAAGAGUUCACUCAUUACUUCCAAACAAGUAUGGUUAAAUUCACAUUUUUGUUCCUUAAUUCUCAUCUUUAAACAUAUUAAAGUCUGAUUUUUUUUGCCAUAAAAAGAACAAAAUGAAUAAAUAAGUGAUACAUAAAUAAACAAACCCCAAAUAAAUAGUAAAUAAACAAACCACCUUGGUCACUCGUCACUGGUAUGAGAGAGAAAUCUGAUCUUUAGUUACAGGGAUUACUUCCAUUGUGUCAUUCAACUGCCUACAGACAGUGUAGAAGCUUAGUAUUCGGAUACUUCUAAGCUGACUAGUUUAGCCAUAUAUGGCUCCUGCAUUUCCAUUGUCCCACAUAUAUCUUAAUGAAACAUCAUGGAGACUUCUUUAAACCAGGUACUGUGUAGUAAGUUUCAGGUAUACUAUCAUCUAAUUCUUUAGACAUAGCACACAGUAAAUACAGUUUCUUAAAAUUGUUUUAGCUUUUUGAGCUUUUAGAUCUUUAUUUAUAUUUAUUAUUUGUGUGUGAGUGUGUGUGUGUGUGUAAGAGAGAGAGAGAGAGAGAGAGAGAGAGUGUGUGUGUGUGUGUGUGUGUGUGUGUGUGUGUGGGUCAUGUAAAGGUCAAGAAACAACUUUUGGAAGUCAGUUCUCUUCUUCUGAAUUCUGGAUUCUGAGGGUGGAACUCCAGUCAUCAGGUUUGCACAUGCAUCUUUGUACAGUAAAACAUCUCAGUGACCUCAGAUACACAGUAUUAUGUCUUUGUGUCCAUGAGGAAAUGAAAUCCUACUAACAUUAUUUGAUUUGAGGAAAAACACCUAGUAUGUAGCAGAGCCAGGAUUAAUUGGACUGUAGGUCAAGGCAUUUCUUGUCACUCAGCAGUUCGUUUUCUUAAACAAUACGUGUUUUGGGAUCAAGAAUAGGCUUCUUGAGUGUGUGCUCACUCUUUUUAAUUUUUUAAAAAUGUAUGCAUACCAGGUAUGUACAACUGUGCACUCUCAUGUAGAGGCAAACACUGGGGUUGCUGUAUCUCUUGCUGUCUUGGCUCAGUGUCCAUUAGAGAUGAUCACGUGUCAUCUGAAGGCUAGUCAUUCGCACUCUUUGCAUCAUGCUCUUGCCUGGUACUAUUUGUCACAAAAUUUAGUCAACUAAUCCAGGACUUUUAUUCCCCUAAUGGUAACUAUUUGAAUUUAGGAUGUCAUGCGAAUGCAGGAACUUAUAAAUUACUAUUCAGGCUGGGGAGACAGAUCAAUCAGAAAAUUAAGAUUGGAGUAUAAACUCUAUCGCUC
RNAcentral lists this long non-coding RNA (2421 nucleotides) under Mus musculus (house mouse). Its description in RNAcentral is "long non-coding RNA chr2:44202528-44204949". The record is from RNAcentral. Lineage: Eukaryota; Metazoa; Chordata; Mammalia; Rodentia; Muridae.